CACACCGCCCGUCACACCAUGGGAGUUUGUUGCACCAGAAGCAGGUAGCUUAACCUUCGGGAGGGCGCUUGCCACGGUGUGGCCGAUGACUGGGGUGAAGUCGUAACAAGGUACCC
This 116-nucleotide ribosomal RNA is filed under the name uncultured bacterium. RNAcentral's name for it is "partial 16S ribosomal RNA". It matches the Rfam family "Bacterial small subunit ribosomal RNA", at positions 1386 to 1501 of the family's 1533-position model. The record is from RNAcentral.